GCCAGGCAUGGUGGCUCAUGCCUGUAAUCCCAGCACUUUAGGAGGCUGAGGUGGGUGGAUCACCUGAGGUCAGGACUUCGGGACCAGCCUGGCCAACAUGAUGAAACCCCAUCUCUA
Molecule: small RNA, 117 nt
Filed under: Pongo abelii (Sumatran orangutan)
Lineage: Eukaryota; Metazoa; Chordata; Mammalia; Primates; Hominidae
Description: Metazoan signal recognition particle RNA (ENSPPYG00000035691.1)
Source: Rfam by way of RNAcentral